Molecule: ribosomal RNA, 268 nt
Filed under: uncultured bacterium
Lineage: Bacteria
Description: partial 16S ribosomal RNA
Rfam family: Bacterial small subunit ribosomal RNA
Source: RNAcentral
AAUAGCCUACGGGGGGCAGCAGUAGGGAAUCUUCCACAAUGGACGAAAGUCUGAUGGAGCAACGCCGCGUGAGUGAAGAAGGGUUUCGGCUCGUAAAGCUCUGUUGGUAGUGAAGAAAGAUAGAGGUAGUAACUGGCCUUUAUUUGACGGUAAUUACUUAGAAAGUCACGGCUAACUACGUGCCAGCAGCCGCGGUAAUACGUAGGUGGCAAGCGUUGUCCGGAUUUUUUUGGCGUAAAGCGAGUGCAGGCGGUGCAAUAAUGUUUGU